GCGGGAGUAGCUCAGUGGUAGAGCACCACCUUGCCAAGGUGGGGGUCGCGGGUUCAAAUCCCGUCUCCCGCUCCA
Molecule: transfer RNA, 75 nt
Filed under: Candidatus Dormiibacterota bacterium
Lineage: Bacteria; Bacillati; Candidatus Dormiibacterota
Description: tRNA-Gly
Rfam family: tRNA
About the family: Transfer RNA (tRNA) molecules are approximately 80 nucleotides in length. Their secondary structure includes four short double-helical elements and three loops (D, anti-codon, and T loops).
Source: RNAcentral